Molecule: transfer RNA, 74 nt
Filed under: Legionella pneumophila
Lineage: Bacteria; Pseudomonadati; Pseudomonadota; Gammaproteobacteria; Legionellales; Legionellaceae
Description: tRNA-OTHER
Rfam family: tRNA
About the family: Transfer RNA (tRNA) molecules are approximately 80 nucleotides in length. Their secondary structure includes four short double-helical elements and three loops (D, anti-codon, and T loops).
Source: RNAcentral
GUCCCGGUGGCACAGAUGGAUAGCGCAGCCCCUCCAGGGGCAGGUCGCAGGUUCGAAUCCUGCCCGGGACGCCA